Molecule: non-coding RNA, 174 nt
Filed under: Platyophrya macrostoma
Lineage: Eukaryota; Ciliophora; Colpodea; Cyrtolophosidida; Platyophryidae
Source: RNAcentral
GCUCCUCAUCGCCCUUUGCAACAGUUGGGAACGGAAGUUCUGCUCGUGCUCAGUCCCCACCGAAUCCCAGCCCUCGUUCACCGCCUCGUGAUGUUGCGGCAUUCACGCCAAGGGCAGCUCUGUCUGCCUCAUUUUCUAACAGCUCUGUGGUUCCCACUGCCGCGAACGGUGCUG